UGGCGGCAUGCCUUACACAUGCAAGUCGAACGGCAGCACGGGGCAACCUGGUGGCGAGUGGCGAACGGGUGAGUAAUAUAUCGGAAUGUACCCUAGAGUGGGGGAUAACGUAGCGAAAGUUACGCUAAUACCGCAUACGAUCUGAGGAUGAAAGUGGGGGACCGCAAGGCCUCAUGCUCAUGGAGCAGCCGAUAUCUGAUUAGCUAGUUGGUAGGGUAAAAGCCUACCAAGGCGACGAUCAGUAGCUGGUUUGAGAGAACGACCAGCCACACUGGAACUGAGACACGGUCCAGACUCCUACGGGAGGCAGCAGUGGGGAAUUUUGGACAAUGGGGGCAACCCUGAUCCAGCAAUGCCGCGUGAGUGAAGAAGGCCUUCGGGUUGUAAAGCUCUUUUGUCAGGGAAGAAAAGGUAUCCCCUAAUACGGGGUGCUCAUGACGGUACCUGAAGAAUAAGCACCGGCUAACUACGUGCCAGCAGCCGCGGUAAUACGUAGGGUGCAAGCGUUAAUCGGAAUUACUGGGCGUAAAGCGUGCGCAGGCGGUUAUAUAAGUCAGAUGUGAAAUCCCCGGGCUCAACCUGGGAACUGCAUUUGAGACUGUAUGGCUAGAGUGUGUCAGAGGGGGGUAGAAUUCCACGUGUAGCAGUGAAAUGCGUAGAUAUGUGGAGGAAUACCGAUGGCGAAGGCAGCCCCCUGGGAUAACACUGACGCUCAUGCACGAAAGCGUGGGGA
Molecule: ribosomal RNA, 733 nt
Filed under: uncultured soil bacterium
Lineage: Bacteria
Description: bacterial SSU rRNA
Rfam family: Bacterial small subunit ribosomal RNA
Source: RNAcentral